CCGUUUCGAUUUGCUGGGGACAGAUAAAAUGAAUGUGAGAAUCAAUGCCUCCAGCCGUGAGAAUCAUGCCUUCUCCAGCCACUGCUUCCGUACCGGGGCCGAUAAUAAUAUCCACAUUAUUCUGAAUAUUGGGAUUCCCGGCUUUGCCAAUCUUGGCGAUCUUGCCGUCUUUGAUACCAAUAUCGGCUUUUACAAUUCCCCACCAGUCUAAAAUGAGUGCAUUGGUAAUCACCAUAUCUACCGCGCCAUCAGCAUUAGAAAUGGGAGACUGGCCCAUACCAUCUCGG
This 287-nucleotide small RNA is filed under the name Roseofilum reptotaenium AO1-A. RNAcentral describes it as "5' ureB small RNA". It matches the Rfam family "5' ureB small RNA". The record is from Rfam by way of RNAcentral. Lineage: Bacteria; Bacillati; Cyanobacteriota; Cyanophyceae; Desertifilales; Desertifilaceae.